CAGUCGCCGCGGUAAUACCGAGGGUGCAAGCGUUAAUCGGAAUUACUGGGCGUAAAGCGCGCGUAGGUGGUUUGUUAAGUUGGAUGUGAAAUCCCCGGGCUCAACCUGGGAACUGCAUCCAAAACUGGCAAGCUAGAGUAUGGUAGAGGGUGGUGGAAUUUCCUGUGUAGCGGUGAAAUGCGUAGAUAUAGGAAGGAACACCAGUGGCGAAGGCGACCACCUGGACUGAUACUGACACUGAGGUGCGAAAGCGUGGGGAGCAAACAGGAUUAGAUACCCCUGUAGUCCCUGUCUCUUAUAC
Molecule: ribosomal RNA, 301 nt
Filed under: uncultured bacterium
Lineage: Bacteria
Description: partial 16S ribosomal RNA
Rfam family: Bacterial small subunit ribosomal RNA
Source: RNAcentral